AGAGUUUGAUCCUGGCUCAGGAUGAACGCUAGCGGCAGGCUUAAUACAUGCAAGUCGAGGGGCAGCACAGGUAGCAAUACUGGGUGGCGACCGGCAAACGGGUGCGGAACACGUACGCAACCUUCCUUUAAGUGGAGAAUAGCCCAGGGAAACUUGGAUUAAUACUCCGUAACAUUAUGAGAUGGCAUCAUUUUAUAAUUAAAGCUACGGCGCUUAAAGAUGGGCGUGCGGCUGAUUAGGUAGUUGGCGGGGUAACAGCCCACCAAGCCUGCGAUCAGUAACUGGUGUGAGAGCACGACCAGUCACACGGGCACUGAGACACGGGCCCGACUCCUACGGGAGGCAGCAGUAAGGAAUAUUGGUCAAUGGACGCAAGUCUGAACCAGCCAUGCCGCGUGGAGGAUGAAGGCCCUCUGGGUUGUAAACUUCUUUUAUUUGGGAAGAAACCCACCUUUUCUAAGGUGGUUGACGGUACCAGAUGAAUAAGCACCGGCUAACUCCGUGCCAGCAGCCGCGGUAAUACGGAGGGUGCAAGCGUUAUCCGGAUUCACUGGGUUUAAAGGGUGCGUAGGUGGGCAGGUAAGUCAGUGGUGAAAUCUCCGGGCUUAACCCGGAAACUGCCGUUGAUACUAUCUGUCUUGAAUAUCGUGGAGGUGAGCGGAAUAUGUCAUGUAGCGGUGAAAUGCUUAGAUAUGACAUAGAACACCAAUUGCGAAGGCAGCUCGCUACACGGUUAUUGACACUGAGGCACGAAAGCGUGGGGAUCAAACAGGAUUAGAUACCCUGGUAGUCCACGCCCUA
Molecule: ribosomal RNA, 801 nt
Filed under: uncultured soil bacterium
Lineage: Bacteria
Description: bacterial SSU rRNA
Rfam family: Bacterial small subunit ribosomal RNA
Source: RNAcentral